Molecule: long non-coding RNA, 1661 nt
Filed under: Homo sapiens (human)
Lineage: Eukaryota; Metazoa; Chordata; Mammalia; Primates; Hominidae
Description: HSALNT0138629
Source: RNAcentral
CUUUGGAAGUGGCUGAUCCUUAGAAUGGAAGCCUGCUGUGGCUCUCUGUCAGCUACAGAAGAAAGCUCAAAACAUGGAGACAUUUGUGCCUGGUCUUUGGGAAUUUUUGAGAUUCAUCUUCUGCAGGUCUUCCAGCCAAAGCACAACAGCCAUUCCAAACUCCAACCAUUUUCACACCCUGUUCUUUCCCCCUGUGUUUACCCGUGGGGGUCCCAGCUCAUCCUUCAUGAUUCAACUCAAGGACCCCAUCUGUUGUGGAGGCUGAUCCCUAGCAGAGUGAGGCAGCCCCUCUCUGAACUGUUUAAAGUACUGGGACAGCCCCAACAGCACGGCUUUUGAUGACGUGUUGAGGUGUUUGCCUCCUCUAUCAAACUGUGCAUGGUGUAAAGUGGCAAAUCUGCCCUUGCUGUCUUCAUCCUCAGGGCCACUCACAUUGUGUACGUCCUGGGCCACUCACAUUGUGCAUGUCCUGGGCCACUCACAUUGUGUAUGUCCUGUAGACUUCAUUAAAGAAAUGGAAGAUAUGGCCGGAUGCAGUGGCUCACGCCUAUAAUCCCAACACUUUGGAAGGCCAAGGCAGGUGGACCACUUGAGGCCAGGAAUUCGAGACCAGCCUGGCCAACGUGGGUAAAGCCCAUCUCUAUUAAAAACACAAAAAAUUAGCCGGACAUGGUGGCACAUGCCUGUAAUCCCAGCUACUCGGGAGGCUGAGGCAGCAGAAUCGCUUGAACCCAGGAGGCAGAGGUUGCAGUGAGCUGAGAUCACAUCACUGAACCCCAGCCUGGGCGACAGAAUGAGACUCUGCCUCAAAAAAUAAAAAUAAAAUAAAAUACACAAAAAAGAAAUGGAAGCUGGAAGAAUGAAUAUUGGAGUAAGUUAUCUAGCCACAGCCUGUGUAUCCUUAAGUGGACAAAUGACUUAGCACAUUUAUUUUCCUAUCUGUAAAUAAAAAUCAGAAUGAGAAUCCACCAGGCAGAUUUUUGUAAAUGUUCUUUUAAACAGAUGGACAAAAAUAUGAUAUUCCUCUGACAUUAUUUCUGUAGGGAUGAUGACAUUUGCUGUAUAAUUAGAACAUGAGGAUUCUGGUUAACACUGACAUAUCUCAGUGACGUCCCGAUGCUGUAAUAUUAAAGCGGGGGGAUGUUAGGGAUGAAGAAGUCUAGAAGCGAAGCUCUUUCCUUAGUAAUAAGAAAGCUGAAAGGCUUCUUUUUCACCCAUGCAGAGCUCCCAGACUUCUAUUUUAGUACAGUCAUUAAGAGCUUGGACUUUGGAGUCAAACUCCCUUGGUUUGAGUCUCACCUGUAGCACUAACUAGCCCUGUGACUUUGGGCAAGUAACUUAACUUCUCUAUACCUGGAUCUUACUAUCUGUAAAUUAGUAUAUUAAUAGCACCUCCCUCAGAGGUUAUUAUAAGGGUUAAAUGAGUUAAUGCAGAUAAGGCAUGGGAAGACAGCACCAGGCAAAACGUAAAUGCUGUUUAAGCCAUGUUAUUUUCCGCCAAAUACUAGGAUACAUUUUCUAAGUAUCAGAGAUGAUUAGAUCCACUUUAAGUGGCAUUGCUGGCCGGGCGCGGUGGCUCCCGCCUGUAAUCCCAGCACUUUGGGAUGCCGAGGCGGGUGGAUCACCUGAGGUCAGGAAUUCGAGACCAUCCUGGGCAACUG